Molecule: long non-coding RNA, 319 nt
Filed under: Vigna radiata
Lineage: Eukaryota; Viridiplantae; Streptophyta; Magnoliopsida; Fabales; Fabaceae
Description: long non-coding RNA (VRAD_LNC018404)
Source: RNAcentral
AGAUUCUUCAAAUGAUGGUAUAUGUGUAUUCUUAUUCCUCGUGAUGAGAUGAAGAUGAAGUAAAAAUUUUAUUUCCAUUAAAUAUAAAAAUAUAGGCACACUUAUUAACAUCAAUUUCUGUACAAAACUUUUAAUAUUACUAAUUCUUCUAGCCAAAAAGUACUAACACCAAUAAACUAAAAGCAUUCUUAAGCCAUAUCCUUUUUCAUAUUUCUCAUAGUCCCUUUAUACUCAUCAUUCUUUAACCUCGUGGAUUCCCUCUAAUCUUUAUUGUUCUUAAAACCCCCUAUUUACUUCAAUAUUAUGUCUUUAACGUCCC